GCCUGGGUGGCUCAGUCGGUUAAGCGGCUGACUUCGACUCAGGUCAUGAUCUCGAGGUCCGUGAGUUCGAGCCUCGCGUCGGGCU
This is a transfer RNA of Felis catus (domestic cat), 85 nucleotides long. It matches the Rfam family "tRNA". Rfam says of the family: Transfer RNA (tRNA) molecules are approximately 80 nucleotides in length. Their secondary structure includes four short double-helical elements and three loops (D, anti-codon, and T loops). Lineage: Eukaryota; Metazoa; Chordata; Mammalia; Carnivora; Felidae. The record is from Rfam.